UACCUGCUACUCCACUAAAUCUUGCUGUCAUCUGCAUGCGGCCUUCUAGGUCAUUGUGUGUUGCCUUUUGAAUGAAUCUAAAUGUUGCAACAUGCACAAAAAAUGCUUUCUUGCUUUUCAACCACUUAUUGCUGCGAAUCUACAUUCUCCUACUUAACCAAAAUCAAGACACCCUUAGGGUCACAAAUGACGGAUACCCAGCUAGAGGAUCAGCUAAAACUGCAGACCUCCACGCUGCAACCAAAUAUUCAAGUGCUUUCCUACAAAAAGAAGUCAUAACAAAGUAAUUAAAAGAGCACAGCAUCCAGUCAGCAGCAGGAGACAUCACCACAAUGAGAGGACCAUCAAGCAUUUUCAGUUGGUUCAACUCAAAGGACUGAAGAAGGCUAAAAGAAGAAACAGAUGGCGUAGUGAUGGUAUCGAGCUCAGCCAGUUGGACAUCAUAGAACUUGAGUUCCCUCACUGGGGCUGUAAAUCUAGUCCAAUCAGGGAGCCUUGGCUGACAGGAGUGUCAGAGGUUCUGUUCACUCUGAGAACUGGCUCUG
Molecule: non-coding RNA, 545 nt
Organism: Chiloscyllium plagiosum (whitespotted bambooshark)
Lineage: Eukaryota; Metazoa; Chordata; Chondrichthyes; Orectolobiformes; Hemiscylliidae
Source: RefSeq, a predicted model, not a curated record